This is a long non-coding RNA of Amaranthus tricolor (Joseph's coat), 409 nucleotides long. RefSeq lists it as uncharacterized. The record is from RefSeq and is a predicted model, not a curated record. NCBI's taxonomy places the organism in Eukaryota, Viridiplantae, Streptophyta, Magnoliopsida, Caryophyllales, Amaranthaceae. The transcript has 3 exons.
CUUUCUUCAUCAAUCCCUCUCUUCCGUCUUCUCUCACGUCCCACUCCCGUCACCCACGGCGGCGGCACGACCAAACCCAGCCAUGAGUUCCACCACCAACAGCAACCACUUCUCCUCCUCCCUUUAUUGUUGGAGACGACAUCAUUGAGGAACCUUUCUAAUUAUCGUGGAGAAACGGACUUCGCUUCUUGAAGCGUUAUUGCUGAUUACAGAUCGGAUUCGGUCGGGAAUAAUCGGGUUAGCAAUGUUGAUGAGAGUGCUAAGGAUGUCCUUUUGAGCUGAGACCAUGGAAGCUUAUAGUUUGUAUUAGGAAUUUGUUUAAUGUAUAUUAGUUCUGAUUAUGUUGAUUAUAAUGGACUCGUAGUGAGUUGUAUGGUUACUUUAUGUUUAGAUUAGAUAUUUGGUUUGA